RNAcentral lists this ribosomal RNA (460 nucleotides) under uncultured bacterium. RNAcentral's name for it is "partial 16S ribosomal RNA". It matches the Rfam family "Bacterial small subunit ribosomal RNA", at positions 338 to 795 of the family's 1533-position model. The record is from RNAcentral.
CCUACGGGCGGCAGCAGUGAGGAAUAUUGGUCAAUGGACGAAAGUCUGAACCAGCCAUGCCGCGUGCAGGAUGAAGGCUCUAUGAGUUGUAAACUGCGUUUGUACGAGGGUAAACGCGGAUACGUGAAUAGGGUUGAAAGUAUCGUACGAAUAAGGAUCGGCUAACUACGUGCCAGCAGGCGCGGGAAUACGGAGGAGCCGAGCGUUAUCCGGAGUUAUUGGGUUUAAAGGGUGCGUAGGCGGUUUGGUAAGUUAGAGGUGAAAUGUCGGGGCUCAACCCCGAAACUGCAUCUAAGACUGGUGGACUAGAGAAUAGUUGCGGUAGGCGGAAUGUAUGGUGUAGCGGUGAAAUGCUUAGAGAUCAUACAGAACACCAAUUGCGAAGGCAGCUUACCAAACUAUAUCUGACGUUGAGGCACGAAAGCGUGGGUAGCAAACAGGAUUAGAUACCCGAGUAGUC